GACGAACGCUGGCGGCGUGCCUAAUACAUGCAAGUAGAACGCUGAAGAGAGGAGCUUGCUCUUCUUGGAUGAGUUGCGAACGGGUGAGUAACGCGUAGGUAACCUGCCUUGUAGCGGGGGAUAACUAUUGGAAACGAUAGCUAAUACCGCAUAACAAUGGAUGACACAUGUCAUUUAUUUGAAAGGGGCAAUUGUUCCACUACAAGAUGGACCUGCGUUGUAUUAGCUAGUAGGUGAGGUAAUGGCUCACCUAGGCGACGAUUCAUAGCCGACCUGAGAGGGUGAUCGGCCACACUGGGACUGAGACACGGCCCAGACUCCUACGGGAGGCAGCAGUAGGGAAUCUUCGGCAAUGGGGGCAACCCUGACCGAGCAACGCCGCGUGAGUGAAGAAGGUUUUCGGAUCGUAAAGCUCUGUUGUAAGUCAAGAACGGGUGUGAGAGUGGAAAGUUCACACUGUGACGGUAGCUUACCAGAAAGGGACGGCUAACUACGUG
This 497-nucleotide ribosomal RNA is filed under the name uncultured bacterium. RNAcentral's name for it is "partial 16S ribosomal RNA". It matches the Rfam family "Bacterial small subunit ribosomal RNA", at positions 28 to 507 of the family's 1533-position model. The record is from RNAcentral.